This 396-nucleotide ribosomal RNA is filed under the name uncultured bacterium. Its description in RNAcentral is "partial 16S ribosomal RNA". It matches the Rfam family "Bacterial small subunit ribosomal RNA", at positions 523 to 918 of the family's 1533-position model. The record is from RNAcentral.
AUACGUAGGGAGCGAGCGUUGUCCGGAAUUACUGGGUGUAAAGGGAGCGUAGGCGGGAGUGCAAGUCAGAUGUGAAAUACAUGGGCUCAACCCAUGGGCUGCAUUUGAAACUGAAUUUCUUGAGUGAAGUAGAGGUAAGCGGAAUUCCUGGUGUAGCGGUGAAAUGCGUAGAUAUCAGGAGGAACACCGGUGGCGAAGGCGGCUUACUGGGCUUUUACUGACGCUGAGGCUCGAAAGCGUGGGGAGCAAACAGGAUUAGAUACCCUGGUAGUCCACGCUGUAAACGAUGAUUACUAGGUGUGGGGGGACUGACCCCUUCCGUGCCGCAGUUAACACAAUAAGUAAUCCACCUGGGGAGUACGGCCGCAAGGUUGAAACUCAAAUGAAUUGACGGGG